This is a non-coding RNA of Hypoxylon cercidicola, 101 nucleotides long. Lineage: Eukaryota; Fungi; Ascomycota; Sordariomycetes; Xylariales; Hypoxylaceae. The record is from the annotation of a GenBank genome assembly.
UCCGAAUUGGUGUAGUGGCUAACAUUUGGUGCUCUCAUUAAGAUAUAGAACAACUGUCUGAGUGACCCGCCAAGCCCGGGGUUCGAUUCCCCGAUUCGGAG